CGGUUCGCAGGGUCCGGCGGAGGUGCCCAACCUGUUCUCUGAAUCGAUCCAAAGGCCAACAACGUUCCGGUUGAUCUCCUCCGGGAAGAACCCUAACCCUCGAUCAUGUCGGCCGCGAUGUCCAUAUCCAGCCGCCGCUCUCCUUCCGAGCUUAGCCGGCCCACUCCUCCGGUAACCAUAAUCCCCAAGUCCCACCCCCUACCACCGUGCCAGACACGCUGUCCGGAUCCAGCCGCCGCUCCUUCUUCGGCCGUCCGGCCCACUCCUCCGGGCGUGUCCGGCCGUGCGGGAACCAGUUCACCGGCCCUCUCCUCCGUCCCCAGCCGUCCCGACUGCGUCCUCCUGGACUCAUGUGGGUAUGGCUUCGUGGACGUGGACGACAACGACACCACCGCGCAAGCCUUCUCGGAGGCGACAGGAACCAUCCGCGUGACUUUCGUUAUCUCCGAUCUCCCGUGCCUCUCGCGCUUCUACGUCCGCUGCCUCGACCUCCCGACCAGCCCCUUCAUCACUGAGCCCAAGAUCGUUUGCUCGGCGGAGAACCUUGCUCUCCUCAGCUUCCACCUGUCCACUUCCUGGUUGCCAGAGCACUUCAUCUACAGGGCCGGGCGGAACGGGCGUCCGCCAUCGCUUGACGCGCUUCCCGACAUCAGCAGGUACCUACAUAGAGAGACAACCAAACCAUGCCUUAUCGGCGUCUUGCCUGACGGCGGCGGCACAGACUUCGUCUUGGCAGCUUUCACAAGGGAUAUAUUGCAGUACAAACUCCAUAUCUUCAGAUCCAAGCAGCGUGCCUGGACCACGGAGCUCUUGUUCCCGGAUCUUCCUCCUUGGCUGACCAAGAAAGGGGCAACAGUUUCCCCCAGCAAGGUGAUUGCUUUACAAGGCGGGGUGCUGGGCUUUGUUGAUCUCUGGAAGGGUAUUUUGUUUUGCGAUGUGCUAUCUGAACUUGUGAAAACGUGGUUUGUUCCACUGCCCAAGCUUCUGCCCAAUAACCGAGUAAACUACAACAGAUUGCCGGCACGCCCCAUUCGCGAUGUCACCUGCCCCGAUGGUUUGAUAAUCAGGUGUGUCGAGUUGGAAGAUCUAUAUGCUAUCAAAACCAGCAUUCCCGAUGCCUCAACCAAGGAUCUAUUAUUUGAUUUUGAUGCGGUUGAUCCAACUGAGGAGAAGGAAGUACAGGAGUUUGUUGGUUGGAGGCUCAUUACAUGGUCUAGGGAGGUCUUUUGGGACUAUUGGUGCAAGGACAGUGUGGUUCAUCUAGAUGAACUUGGAAAUGUGUCCUUGCCUCAUCAGAUUCCGGCUGCCAUGGUGCUGCAAAAUUGCCAUUGAAAACCCUGAAAACAUGUUACCCAACCGCGUGUGGUGAUGGCAUUGUUUGUCUCAUGUCCAAGAAAAAUCAUCGGGACCAUGAUGCAUGGAUUCUCACUGUUGACAUGAGGACCAAGAGAGUGGGAGAGCCAGUGCCAUUUAAUGCCAAGAGAUCAUCAGAUCGUAAUCGUAAUCCCACCUACAUUCCUUGUGCGCUGAACAAAUAUCUGAAUAAUGAAUCAGAUCUAGCUCAGGUUGGCUUGCAAAAUGCCCGUUUUCAUGGACAUUUUUCGCUUCAGCUGCCCCUUCAAAACUCGAACAAGCACAGUAAUAUUUCCCAACAGAAACGGCAGCGACUGCUGUCCCCGCAGAAAGCGAACAGCUAUCCUAAUGCUUACCAACAGAAGCGGCAGACCAUUGAUUCAAAUGAGGCGACCGGCUCAUGCACUUCUCAUCAGAGAGAGGGUACUCCGGGAAGAACAUGGGCCGGUCGGGGAUCCCUGUGCGCUACAGCAUCUGCUCGCCCCCAACAUAACAAGGCCAGAAUCAACAGAAGCAAACCAUGGAGUUGCUGGCCAAAAUAAUUUCAAACAAAAUGAAAGCUGACAAGGGAGGAGAGGACGUGCGUCAUGUUGUUCUGCUUCUUGAUGAGGGAGGUGAGGAGGGGCCUGAAGAGCGGGGACUCGAGGAGCAUACCCAGUACGCCUUGGCGGCGAACGGAAUCCCCUUCCUCCUCCUUUGCGGACUGGCGCACGGCCGAGGCGGCGACCGGCGCGUAGGCCCACGCACACCCGAGGUGGCGCAAGCGCAGCGCGAGACACUGCUGCUUUCCCCGUGCCUCCUCCGGCGUCGGGGGCAACGAGGAGGAGGUGUCGCCGCAGCGCGCAAGCAGGAGACGCAGCGGGAGGAAGAAGAAACAACUUUGGGGGUGAAAGAGGGGAGAUUUGGGAGGCAGGCAAGGGGGCCAGGGGAGCUGCGCGAGGCAGGAGGGAGCGGUGGCGUAGGCAUCCCCGGCGGCGGAGGAGGACGUGCGGGAGAGCAGGGGAGCAGCACGGUGAAGCUGAGCAGGGGAGCUCCGGCGUCGAUGCGCCCGUGUCGGAGCGGCGGGGUGUGUCGAUUGGAGAAGACGAGGAGUGCGGGUUGUGUCGGGAGUUUGGGGAGGGGUUUUCUGCAAAAACGCCAUGGAGACAACUUUUCCCGGACGGAGGGAGUACUAAUAUACUUCCUCCCUCUGGGUUUAUUUGCCCCCCUUGUUUGGUGCAAGUUUGACCAUUUCUUUGACUAACAAAAUAUGAGGUAUGUGCUACAUAAUGUAUACUAUUUGUAUUCGUACGAAGUUUUCCAUGGUAAAAAAUUUAUGACAUAUAAUUCAUAUUUUAUAUUAGUAAAAUCUAGUUAGGUUCAGGCUUUGGAUUAACCAAUCUUGGUUAGAGGAUCAUAUUUUCUGUAAGAUUGUUGAUGCACAUGCUCCUGCUGAGUUCUUUUAGACAUCUUUAUUUAUUCUGGAAUAGUUUACUUGGUUAUUGACUAUGGGCAUCUCCCCCCCCCCCCUAUGUUGUCGUCAUUUAUACAUAGCUCCUUUGUCUAAUAUUGCCCUAAUUAUUCAUGUGCAAGUAAUUAAAUAAGACGCUGUCAAACUAAUUAUAAGCAACUCGUUCCAUUUAUACAUACAUGGUCUGGCAGAGUUUUUAGCCCAAACGAACCUGUUAUCUUUGUUGCAUGUACACCUGCUGAUUCUACAAUUGUGUGCCAAGUCUUGGAAAGUGCAGACAUGUACACCUGCUAAUUCUACAAUUAGCAUUUCUCUGUAAUCUUGAUAACACGUGAGAUUCUUGAUGCUAAUGUGCGAUGGGCAAAGUAUACAAACCCACCAGAUUAUCUGUUCGGUUUGAUGGGGUCUAGAGAUGAAGGGGAUUGGGGGGAUUAAAUCCUUGCCAGUCAAAAUUCCCCUCCAAUUCACUUGGUGGGGGGGAUUAGCCAAACAAGGCUUGAAGGUAACUAGCAGGUUUGUGCGCGGCGGCAGGCCGUGCUUCACUAAUACAUCUGCAUAUAAAUUUUAUAUAUUUGGCUUGAAUGCGUUCAUAUUUAUUUUUGUCUUGUUGGAUAAAUCUUUUCUUGGAGCUUUAAUCAGGAGGUCAUUUAUAUGACAGGGUAAAUGGUAUUUUAUAUUGAAUUGAUAACAAUCAUAAGUUCGAUGAAUCGAAAAUGGCACAGUAAUGGUUUGGUGUACUGGAGUUUCUACUUAAACAAUAGUUUUUCAAUGAAAGGGAUGACUUCCCCAAUUGCAUAACGAAACCAACUGUCUUACAACCAAAACGCACCACCGCCAACUUGGAGGACAGGCCCUUCCAAGCCCAUCCGCAGGGAGCCUAGUUGAUCAGGGCCUAGGUAAAGCAGUACUUAGACAACAGUGUUAUGGUGAUAUCAAAGGCACAAUUAUAAACUUGAUGUUUAACAUUAGCGUUCAUGAUGCACCCGUCACUUGUUGCUCUGCAUUGGUUCUGAUGUUUAGGCUGAGUUGGACAACACUUUCUGCCAUGGGAAAAGGACAGAAUAUGGUUGGUACAAUCGUUGUCGCCUUAAGUCAUUUUGUGAGAUGUUAGAAAAUGUCAAGUGCCAAUUCACCUGUGCGGUUUUGAUUGGUGUUACUGGUAUAGAAUGCUCCCUCAUGUCUUUAGAUAAACAAUAAUAAUGUUCCACAUGCUUGAACAUAGAGAAUCCUGAGUUUCUUUCUCCUCUUCCUAGUUGUCACAAUGUUCCAAUUAGUACUCCUAGCAUACUUCAACUUAUGUUGUGAAUGUGCCCCUCCAAAAAAUGUGUAAACUCUACAGCCUAUUUGCGUGUAUCAGUUCAAGAUUUGUAAGCCUGCACACCAUUACGGUUGAAUGUUGCUAAGGAUUAUAUGAGAAUUAGGUAUUUGAUCCAUGCCUUCCUAAAAUGCCUAAAGAAUACCCUGAAAAAUAUGGAAUCAGCUGCUCUGUGUGGUCAAAUUGUUUUGUAAACAUCAUAUACUUUAGUCAACUUGUGUAGUACUAACUGAAUAAGAAAUCAGAUUCUGAAGUCCUGGAACGAAAUAGAUCUCUGGUUUAGCAGAGGCCAGAAGGUAGAAACUAUGUGGCCAAUCGAAAAUCCCACAUAAGCAAAUAGCAAAAAAAAAGAACUAGGAAGCGGCACAUGUAACAGAGGACAAAAGAAAAAUCUGAGAAGAAAUAUUUCUCAUGUGUACAUGCAGUAUGAAUAUAUAAGGCAUACAGUAAUAGCUGUAAUGAAUAGCUUAGAGAGUAAAAUUAAUCCACCAGUUAUCUGUCAAAGCCAGGCUUUACAAAAAUCAAUUGAGCAAAGGUUAAGCGCUUAACAUAUCACAAUGAUAUCAAUUUUCACUAAAAAGUACAAAUAGAGUAACAGAUUCAUGGUAGAUAUACUGCAAUUUGUGCUCCUAACCAGUUGGCAAAUGUUGGUUUGCUAUUAGGAUAUUUACUGGGUACCAAUAUGCUGUCUAGCAUACAACAGGUGGUGUAUAGCAACCAUUAGGUGAUUUAUAUCUGCUACCUCUGUCCGAAAUUAGAUGACACUCAAAAGGAUGUAUCUAGAUGUAUUUCAGUGCUAAAUACACCCGUUUGAGCGUUAACUAAUUCCGGACGGAGGAAGUACAAUCGUUUCCAUCAGUAAAGAGAAACUGAGUUAAUCCCAUUUGGCGUACUAUUUAGAAAUUAUCUUGUCUGGCAAAGGUUAAUUUUUUUAUCUGCCUGACGUUGGAUGACACUACCGUGUAGUGUUAUACUUGCCAAUUGACACAUGAAAGUUUCGCCCUUUUGUCCAUCUUGUUCCUCUUGCCUAGAAGAUACUAUGAAACAAUUGUUGUUUCGGUGCCAUAAAGCUAGGGGGGAGGGGUGGUUGGAUUCGUUCCCCAAUGGCCUUUGUGAAGGUUAAUGUUGAUGUUUUUUUUUAUCAUGAUUUUCUUAAGGGUACGGUUGGAGCGGUCCUGAGGGGCGAUAAAGAAAAAUUCAUUGCAGGAGGCCUUUGGAGAAUCAACUGGUGUGCGUCCGUUCUCACGACGGAAGCUCUGCUGCUUAGAUUCGGUCUAUCCUUGACGCAACGGACGGGAUGUAAUCGACUUUCAUCAAUUCUGAUAUAAUUUGGAGGUCAUUGAUGCCAUGAAUAAUAGAGGAUGGUUGGUAUUUAUUGCUUGUGAUUUUAAUAUUUCUGGGUUUCAACAUUGUAAUAGAGAAGCAAAUAAGGUUUCUCACGAGCUUACUA
RNA transcript from Triticum aestivum (bread wheat), 5568 nucleotides. RefSeq lists it as uncharacterized. The record is from RefSeq and is a predicted model, not a curated record. The transcript is spliced from 6 exons. NCBI's taxonomy places the organism in Eukaryota, Viridiplantae, Streptophyta, Magnoliopsida, Poales, Poaceae.